ACUACUCUUAGGGAUUCCACCUGGCUUUUAUUUGAUUGGCACAGCCAGUAUUUGGGGCUGCCUGGCUGGUGCCAAUAUUGGAGUGAUACUGGCAAUACAAAUGCUGGUAUUUUUCUCAGUAUAAACAAGAGAUUACUAUGCAAUACCAGCACUGGCCAGUAGGGGUCGCUGUAUGUGGAGACAAGCAGGGAUAGGAAGUUCCAGCAUAUCCCUCCCUGCCUAUCUAUACUCACUGAUCUGCAGGCGUGCAGCUACAGAGAGUCCAGACAGCAACUCCCACCCUGCAGAGACAGCCUACAGCUCAGGGAAGUAAGAGAUGGGG
Molecule: long non-coding RNA, 322 nt
Filed under: Pelobates cultripes (western spadefoot toad)
Lineage: Eukaryota; Metazoa; Chordata; Amphibia; Anura; Pelobatidae
Source: RNAcentral